RNAcentral lists this long non-coding RNA (340 nucleotides) under Vigna radiata. Its description in RNAcentral is "long non-coding RNA (VRAD_LNC017210)". Lineage: Eukaryota; Viridiplantae; Streptophyta; Magnoliopsida; Fabales; Fabaceae. The record is from RNAcentral.
AGGGAAUUAUGCUUAAUUGUCCGGUAUUUUCCCGUUUUCGCUAAUAGUGCUUAAUUUGACCGGAAAUUCUAAUUUUAAUUAAUUUGAAUAUUUUGAGCUAAUUAUUUGCAUUAUUAUUUUCAGGGAAAAUUUUGGAAAUUCAAUUUGGGACAUUUGGAAUGCUAUCAAAUAAUUCAAGACUCUUGUCAUAGACAUUUCAAAUUUAAUUAUUUUGAAACUUAGUAGUCUAGAUAGUUUUUAAUUAAAUUUUGUAAACAUUGGGCCAAUUUUUAGCAAAAUAGUUUGAGCCCAUUUAGGAAACAUGAUAUGGCACCUAGGGUUUUGCAAAGGGGUGGACCCC